RNAcentral lists this long non-coding RNA (3748 nucleotides) under Monomorium pharaonis (pharaoh ant). RNAcentral's name for it is "uncharacterized LOC118646733". The record is from RNAcentral. Lineage: Eukaryota; Metazoa; Arthropoda; Insecta; Hymenoptera; Formicidae.
UUAAUGCUAUUCCACGUUAAAAUAUGAUUAUUCAAAUAUAAUUAUUCAGCUAGCAUAAAUAAUGAAAAGUUUGGAAUAAUAUCUCUAAUUAAGAGCCAAAAGCUUUUUCUUGUAUCUCCUCGCAUGUUGCGAUGCACAUAUCAAAUAUCAAAAAUUAACGUCAAAAAUGAAAGGCUCGUGAAAGCGCGAGAGGAGCUUUAACGGCCUUCUGACAAUAUGUUUUACUUUAUUUCUGUUUGCUGCAUACCCUGAAUUGCAAUCGUUUAAGCUAAAGUUAUUAAUUACAAACGACAUAGUCUUCUCAAAGGCUCGGUGUACUGAUAAAAGCGAUUCUCCAAAGUAGCAGAUGGGUAAUACUUUUAUCGUAUAUCACGAUAUGGCCAUACGCGAAUAAACGGGCCAAACUAGGAAAGGGUGUUUGCCUGGUUCAGACCUGCGUCUCAGUGUUAUACUACCACUUUUUACACACUCUCCCCUCCUGCUCGUCCUCCGUUCCCUUCCCCCGUUUUUAACUCUAGCCCCGAAAAAAGCCCACUUACCCAAUCGUACCCCAAUCUACCGCUGGCUCAGCGGCGGCGUGCAAAACUCUCGAUCAACCGCCAGUAUUUUUAUCUCCGCAGUUUUUAAGGUCACUUGUUGCUUCUUACUAUGCUAGUGCCGCGGGAAGAAAACUCGCCCUCUUUACGAAGACCACGUCCACUUUUUCCCGCGGCGCCAACGUUAAUAACUGCGGCAUCCGUGUGCGGAAAGUUGAUAUCGCGUAACAAUUAUAUCUUACGACUCUCUGGUGUGAAAUUAAAUUAGUACAAAGUAAAAGCGAUUAUUCGCAUAAGAGCGAAUUUUAUUAAUACACAGUAAGAUCUAUUAUUGGUUAUAGAUAUUUCAUAAGCUUAUUUUGCUACAAUUCAUUAUUUUAGCGAUUGCGUUGAAAAACCAAUUGCAGAAAUACCAAUGGAUUUAUCGAUAAAUUCUUGAAUCAAUUUAAAAUCGAUGAUGGCUCUUUACCUUCUUAUUCGAACCUGCAACCGUGCUCACCUCUGAUGCCACAAAAUUAUUUGUCGGAUUGUAUAACGCUUCACCUAUCAAUUAGAACAACGAAUCCCUACCGCAAAAAGUCGGAAUGCGUUAGCAGGCUUUUCCGCAUUCAGUAUUUAGCGCGUAUUAACGAGGAAAUCGAGCUGGGCAGCGCACGCUCGUUAGUAUUACCUGCUGUAAUAAUCGCAUCUGUAUUUGAGAAAAGAAGAGAAUAAGUAGAAAACGGACCGGUUAUAAGUGCAGCGCGUUCACUUUUAAUUGACGAAACUUCCUUCCGCGACGCACUCUGAGAAAACUCGCUAUUUUCUCUCUUUCUCUUCCUCUUUCUCUUUCAUAUUUUUUUCAAUAUAAUCAUAAUGUUUGCAUUCCGGUUGCACGCGAUUACUCGAGCUUCCUUGGCGCGGCGAUGCGUACCCCUCACCCAGUUUCACCCCUUCGCGUCUCCGUUGCAGCUGCGCACGAUAUCCGAUCAGUGUGGCCGGUAUUUUUAUUCGUAGAUUUUAAGGUCACUUGUUGCUUGUUUAGUUAUGUCGGGGUACACACGCGCCGUCAACACACUGGCGCAUGGAUCGGCUGGAGCGCGCGCACGCGAGAGAGAGAGAGAGAGAGAGAGAGAGAGAGAGAGAGAGAGAACGCAUAAAUGUGUGUGCUCAGCGGGGGCGUUCGCUCUGGUGUAUCGUAAUGCACGUGGACAAAGCAAUCCGCCGACAUGUGUUGAGGAUGCUACAUGCAAGCGCAGGAUUGUGUACGUGGCAUCGGACCGAUAGGUGGACGCCCUGUCGAUUUCAUUUCCCCCAUCGGAUGGCGAGGGGGUGCGCCGAGGGGGGGAGGUUGAGCGUUCCACUAUUUUUUUUCUGGCUUUUUGCCCCUUUUUUCCGGGGCGUCCGGAUUUCGCGUUGCGGUUUUUUUGCGCAGCUUUCGCUACUCGCGCGUGGUGCUCCUACUCUUGCACCCCCUCUCUCUCUCUCUCGAUUUCCCUCACUCUCUCUCUCUCUCUCUACCGCUCGCUACGUCUAUCGAAAUGUCCCAGUCUCUCUUACCGCUUCUUUUCACACUAGUUUUCUCUCUCGUUCCCUCGCCGCCUAACUCUCGUCCCUCUCACUCUAUUUUUUCUGGCUUUUGCUUUUGUUUUUUGUCAACCACCGUUUGCCGCGUUGCGCGUUCGUUUUGUUUAGUGAGUUAUGUCACGGCCACCAAAUCGAUCUUCGAUGUCCGAAUACGUACGGCCGGAAUUACGCUUGUAAAGCAAUAAGAAUUACUAUACUGAAUCUUAGAAGUUCGGAAUAAUCUCUUGUAAAACGCAUGAUCGUUUCAAUCGAGGUUUGAUCUUUACAUAGGACUAGGUGCAAGAUAUAAAUGGCAUGUUAAUUAAAAAAAAUGUAUGUCAUUUGCAGAUGGUUUGAAAAUAGGAUUUUAUUUCGUAAAAUUUUAUACAUUUUGUCUUGUAAAUUUCGAGAUAAACAUUCCAUAACGAAUUACUCGAUAUUGACUUACUUUCUAAGUAGAUUAGUGUAUGCGACUAUAUACUAAAGCAGUAACGCAAUGACAAGAACCGUGUGCACGCAUGUAUACAAAAUCGAAUACGUAUACGGGAGUGUGGUGGUUGAUUUGCGAGCGUCGGGCUUCCAUAGAUCGAGCAGAUCAAUGGCAUCGACUCCCUAGAGUCAGUCUUUUCUCCCAUCCUACUCCAUCAAGUUGUAAUGUGCAUGUGCGUGAUCCGCUAGAACUGAGCGACUGACAUAUUCGAUUCCGAUUAUCGAAUGCGUGUUGUCGUAAACAGGUGCAAUUAGGAAACCUUAAACACGGCUUACCGUUUAACAGUCAUUCACGCUGUCGAUUCAAUGAUAAAUGAUCUCCGAAUCUCAAUAUCUAUUUUUCUCUUUGUCAAGUAAAAAAAAAAAAAUAAAUUUUCCUCUAAGUUAAUUUGCGAUAUCCCGACUCGUUAUGUAACGUGGUCCCUCAUUUUUAUUCCGGCACAAAACCGGCAAAAGAAAUCUCAAAAGCAGCGGUACCGACUUUUCCCUGAAAAUACAUCGAGUGCGCUCGAGGAAUUCAGCGGACUGCCGAAAGAGAACGUGGUCGAUAAAACUCGGAAUAUUCCAUCGCUGCUAUUCAAGCAUCCGAUAUGAAUAUGAAAAGUGCUUCAUAUUCUUGGACAAUAGUGCUACCAUUCUCGCGCUAACUAGAUAAUUAACGUUCGUGAUUUGCAUCGCGCCGAACGAACUUCUUACAAACUCCUAGCGCUUCCGAACUAUCGUUCGACUCUGCGGAAAAGUCUAAACUCGAUGCAGGACGGACGGACGGACGGACGGACGGACGGAUUGGUGAACCCGCUGCUGCCGGUGACAGCCACGGUAUUAACAUUCCUGCCCGGCCAGCAACUUCAUACUCAAUGAUAUACCACAGCGAGGAAACGCGUGUACGCGCGUACACAAGCGUGGCGCGCGGUGAAACGUAUGUACGUACGAUGGAUUCGUGGUCGCGCCGUCGACGAGGAGGAUAUUGGGGUGCUUUCGUACUCGUUUCACCAUAAUAAUUCGCCGGCAUACAAGUAUAGCCGCACCGUACGUUUGCACGGAGGUCGUCGGCUACGUCGGCACUGAAAGAUCUCUUAUUUGUCGAUAUGUUCCGGCAGUUCAAGGAAAAGAAUCGAGCGAUAUGGAAAUUGAAAGUCUUAGGAUAACAAUGCGAUGUGAUAUGAGGGAAGGAAACG